GAGAGAACAGAUAUAAGGCAGGUACAGAGAAAAUCUCUAAAAUGGUGGGCAGCAAAAGAGACGACCCGAUCUGUAGGUAUGUUCACCUCUCUGUAAACAUGCGCAGUCAGGAAGGUGCCACACUUCCUUAGUCACCUUCUGAUGUCCUCUAGAAAUGGGUGGUCUAUUAUUUCACAUCUCUGCAUGUUCACCUUUCUGUAAAUAUGCACAGCUUGAAAGGCGCCACACUUUCUCAAUUGUCUUUUGAUGUCAUUUAGAAGCGGGUGGUCUAUUAUUUCUCAUUAUAAUGGUUGUCAUACUAGCUAUUAUU
RNAcentral lists this long non-coding RNA (310 nucleotides) under Phoenix dactylifera (date palm). Its description in RNAcentral is "long non-coding RNA (PDAC_LNC001312)". The record is from RNAcentral. Lineage: Eukaryota; Viridiplantae; Streptophyta; Magnoliopsida; Arecales; Arecaceae.